Gossypium raimondii (Peruvian cotton) is the source of this 145-nucleotide non-coding RNA. NCBI's taxonomy places the organism in Eukaryota, Viridiplantae, Streptophyta, Magnoliopsida, Malvales, Malvaceae. The record is from Rfam.
UAUUAAAAAUUUCAUUAAUUCUUACUGUUUAAAACUGCUGUCAUUGACGAAAUAACCAGAUAAUUACACGUGGUGUGCCACAUGUACCUUAUAUUGACAUAAAAGGAGCAGUUUUCAACCGUAAAAGUAGAUGAAAAUUUUCAAA